RNAcentral lists this long non-coding RNA (695 nucleotides) under Heterocephalus glaber (naked mole-rat). RNAcentral describes it as "lncRNA (ENSHGLG00100051199.1)". Lineage: Eukaryota; Metazoa; Chordata; Mammalia; Rodentia; Bathyergidae. The record is from RNAcentral.
CACUUAAGAACUUUUCUGCAAAGGAGCCAGAGACUCUACACACUAAGGCACCAGGGUGCAACACUCCAGCCCUAAUAAGCCAGAACUAAGGAGAAGUAGACUCUGAGUGAACGAAAAGUUCUACAAUGUUAUGAAGACCUCCCUUUCCCAAGGAACAAAAAGUUCUACAGUGAGCUAUAAAGACCUUCCCUUUCUAAGGAAUAGCUUACAAUGAGUACAGCUCAAUUGAUCUCACCAAAAACAGCGAUCUGAUCAAGUCAUCAUGCCAUAAGACCUUCAGGGUCUCCAUCCUCUGGUCACAGCAUACUCUCGAGCUCCUCUUCACCUUCUGCUCUACCAGAUACCCACAUGCCGGCAGUGGGUGAGCAGAGGGCCACACUGCCAUUCUCACUGAGAUAGCUGUUUGUUGUGGAGGACUGUCCUAUGCAUAUAUUCCACCAAAAAAAAAUGUAUACACACUUCAGGAAAAGAAAAAUGGCAUGAUGUUUUUCUACAGAUAUCAUUGCCUUUGCCUGAGGACCCCUAGAGGAUGUCAUAUAUCACAGAAAGGCCACUACACUGCCAGCCCUUCGAGAAGAAAUUGAAAAUGCACGUGCAGCCAUCUCAAUGACCAAGGUUACCCAAGCAGUGGUUCACCAUACUAAUAAAUGUCUGGAAGCUAAUACCACCACUUUGAGCACCUCUUGUAAUUGUAG